RNAcentral lists this transfer RNA (71 nucleotides) under Lachnospiraceae bacterium. RNAcentral's name for it is "tRNA-Gly". It matches the Rfam family "tRNA". From Rfam's summary of the family: Transfer RNA (tRNA) molecules are approximately 80 nucleotides in length. Their secondary structure includes four short double-helical elements and three loops (D, anti-codon, and T loops). Further hydrogen bonds mediate the characteristic L-shaped molecular structure. tRNAs have two regions of fundamental functional importance: the anti-codon, which is responsible for specific mRNA codon recognition, and the 3' end, to which the tRNAs corresponding amino acid is attached (by aminoacyl-tRNA synthetases). tRNAs cope with the degeneracy of the genetic code in two manners: having more than one tRNA (with a specific anti-codon) for a particular amino acid; and 'wobble' base-pairing, i.e. permitting non-standard base-pairing at the 3rd anti-codon position. RNAcentral also lists the same sequence under 1 other name. Lineage: Bacteria; Bacillati; Bacillota; Clostridia; Lachnospirales; Lachnospiraceae. The record is from RNAcentral.
GCAGCGUUAGUACAUCGGUAGUAUAUCAGCUUCCCAAGCUGAGGAGGCGGGUCCGACUCCCGUACGCUGCU